This 398-nucleotide ribosomal RNA is filed under the name uncultured bacterium. RNAcentral describes it as "bacterial SSU rRNA". It matches the Rfam family "Bacterial small subunit ribosomal RNA", at positions 28 to 428 of the family's 1533-position model. The record is from RNAcentral.
GACGAACGCUGGCGGCGUGCUUAACACAUGCAAGUCGAGCGGUAAGGCCCUUUCGGGGGUACACGAGCGGCGAACGGGUGAGUAACACGUGGGUGACCUGCCCUCCAGCUCUGGGAUAAGCCUGGGAAACUGGGUCUAAUACUGGAUAUGACUCCACGGUGCAUGUCGUGGGGUGGAAAGCCUUGUGCGGCUGAGGAUGGGCCCGCGGCCUAUCAGCUUGUUGGUGGGGUGAUGGCCUACCAAGGCGACGACGGGUAGCCGGCCUGAGAGGGCGACCGGCCACACUGGGACUGAGACACGGCCCAGACUCCUACGGGAGGCAGCAGUGGGGAAUCUUGCGCAAUGGGCGAAAGCCUGACGCAGCGACGCCGCGUGAGGGAUGACGGCCUCGGUUGUAA